GCUGAUGUGGCUCAGUUGGUAGAGCAGUUGAUUCGUAAUCAACAGGUCGGGGGUUCGAAUCCCCCCAUCAGCUCCA
Molecule: transfer RNA, 76 nt
Filed under: Oscillospiraceae bacterium
Lineage: Bacteria; Bacillati; Bacillota; Clostridia; Eubacteriales; Oscillospiraceae
Description: tRNA-Thr
Rfam family: tRNA
About the family: Transfer RNA (tRNA) molecules are approximately 80 nucleotides in length. Their secondary structure includes four short double-helical elements and three loops (D, anti-codon, and T loops).
Source: RNAcentral